GGGGAUCAGAAUAAGAGCCAUUGAGGAUGGCCAUUGUAAUAAACUUGUUUGCUGCUUCUGUGGCAUGGAUUCCAUCCCAGCUUACAUAGUUGUAGGGGUCAUCACAAGCUGAUGCCGUCACAUUGCUCCCAUUAAUCACUUUGGUAUUUCCACAGAAAACUUGAGAAUCAAAAUUGUAGGUACCUCCCCCAUGUCCACAACAUGCUUUAGGACCAUACUUGAACCCAUGAGAGGUGGGAU
RNAcentral lists this unclassified non-coding RNA (240 nucleotides) under Hevea brasiliensis (rubber tree). Lineage: Eukaryota; Viridiplantae; Streptophyta; Magnoliopsida; Malpighiales; Euphorbiaceae. The record is from RNAcentral.